Molecule: ribosomal RNA, 704 nt
Filed under: Babelomurex cariniferus
Lineage: Eukaryota; Metazoa; Mollusca; Gastropoda; Neogastropoda; Muricidae
Description: partial 16S ribosomal RNA
Rfam family: Bacterial large subunit ribosomal RNA (bases 1-588)
Source: RNAcentral
GGCUCCAUGUCCAACUGCAAAUAUGGAGUCGGACCUGCCCGGUGAAAAUUUUUAACGGCCGCGGUACUCUGACCGUGCAAAGGUAGCAUAAUAAUUUGCCUUAUAAUUGAAGGCUGGCAUGAAUGGUUUGACAAGAAUAAAACUGUCUCUUUAUAGUUAAUUAGAAUUUUAUUUAUAGGUGAAAAAGCCUAUAUGUUAUUGAUAGACAAGAAGACCCUAUCGAGCUUUAAAAAAAUUGUAAUAUAAAAUUACUUUAAUUUUGGUUGGGGCGACCAAGGAACAAAAAAAACUUCCUUAUAUAGCUUAGAACUAGCAAGUGAAGAUCCAAACUAUUUGAUUUAUGGAAUUAGUUACCGUAGGGAUAACAGCAUAAUCCUCUUUGAGAGCCCAUAUCGAAAAGGGGGUUUGUGACCUCGAUGUUGGACCAGGGCAUCCUGAAGAUGCAGCAGUCUUCAAGGGUUGGUCUGUUCGACCAUUAAAGCCCUACGCGAUCUGAGUUCAGACCGGCGUGAGCCAGGUCAGUUUCUAUCUUCAAUUUUUUUAGUGAGCUUAGUACGAAAGGACCAGCUCACUCUAAGCUUUGGUUAAUUUGAUAAAGUAUAAUAAUGGGGUUUAAUUUAAUCAAAUUAGCAGAAAUAAUGCAAUUGACUUAGGAUCAAUAGGUAUGGUGUAAAUCCUUAUUUGAUAAUAAAGGUGGCAGAAUA